AGCUCCAAUAGCGUAUAUUAAAGUUGUUGCAGUUAAAAAGCUCGUAGUUGAAGUUUGGGCCUGGGCGGGCGGUCUACCUAUGGUGAGUACUGCAGCGGCCGGGUCUUUCCUUCUGGCUAGCCCUCGUGGCGAACCAGGACGAUUACUUUGAGGAAAUUAGAGUGUUCAAAGCAGGCCUUUGCUCGGAUAUAUUAGCAUGGAAUAAUAGAAUAGGACGUAUGGUUCUAUUUUGUUGGUUUCUAGGACCAUCGUAAUGAUUAAUAGGGACGGUCGGGGGCAUCAGUAUUCAGUUGUCAGAGGUGAAAUUCUUGGAUUAACUGAAGACUAACUACUGCGAAAGCAUUUGCCAAGGACGUUUUCA
This 361-nucleotide ribosomal RNA is filed under the name uncultured eukaryote. RNAcentral describes it as "SSU rRNA". It matches the Rfam family "Eukaryotic small subunit ribosomal RNA", at positions 587 to 972 of the family's 1831-position model. The record is from RNAcentral.